CUCCCGUUCUCCGUUGUUAGGGUGAGGACUGAGGAGUGAGGACUUAGGGUUUGUGCGCCGGCGCCGCCCGAGCUCUAUUCCCUCCCUCAGCGUCCCUCUCGAGUGUCUCCCCUCUAGUCUCCUCUCCAGCUUUCCUCCGGAGUCCGGACUCUUCGCCUCCCAAGCCCUCUCCUCCGGACCUUCGCCCUCUCCUCCCCCGUGCCAACAACUUCGGCCUCCCCGUCGACGGCGACCGCGGCGGCUCGACGGGUCUUGGGAUUUUUUUGGCUCCCGUCGCCUUCCCUCUCCCUCUUCCGUUCGAAGUCUUCCGUGCAUGCGAGGUCGGAUCCUCUGCUCCACCGAGGUCAUCGGUUGAUGCAGGCUUUAUAAGCGAUUCAUUUCGGGUUUGGGCCCUUUGGGGUUUACUUCAUGUGGCAGAAUAUUUAUGUUGUAUGCGUGAUUUGGGUUUAACAAGUCACCGGAAGCACCAUCAAAUUAGGACAUCUGUUGCCGCUAUCUUUGCAUUGUGGAAGCCUCAUACAGCUAAAAACUAAAAUCAGCAAGCAGCCAAGCAUAUUGAUACAUCAAAAGCUAGUAUGACCAUCUUCCUGCAUCUGGAGUGUUUGAUGCAAACCAUUCAUUCUUCAGACAGUGGCCAACUACAUGACUUUGUUUCUGUUCUCUUUCUAUAAUAUUUUAUCACAUGAACCAUCAUUAGGUGGAAAGCUUUUUGUUGUGAACUUUUAAGUAAUGCAUACCAGCAGCUAAGGAUUUCAUAUUUCAAUUGAUUUGCUUGUAUGUGUAGGAUCCGUAUAUGAAAAUUUUGAAAAAUCUAA
Non-coding RNA from Phoenix dactylifera (date palm), 815 nucleotides. NCBI's taxonomy places the organism in Eukaryota, Viridiplantae, Streptophyta, Magnoliopsida, Arecales, Arecaceae. The record is from RefSeq and is a predicted model, not a curated record.